UACGAAGGGGGCUAGCGUUGCUCGGAAUCACUGGGCGUAAAGCGCACGUAGGCGGAUCUUUAAGUCAGGGGUGAAAUCCCAAGGCUCAACCUUGGAACUGCCUUUGAUACUGGGGAUCUCGAGUCCGGAAGAGGUGAGUGGAACUGCGAGUGUAGAGGUGAAAUUCGUAGAUAUUCGCAAGAACACCAGUGGCGAAGGCGGCUCACUGGUCCGGUACUGACGCUGAGGCACGAGAGCGUGGGGAGCGAACCGG
This 253-nucleotide ribosomal RNA is filed under the name uncultured bacterium. RNAcentral's name for it is "partial 16S ribosomal RNA". It matches the Rfam family "Bacterial small subunit ribosomal RNA", at positions 524 to 776 of the family's 1533-position model. The record is from RNAcentral.